Molecule: ribosomal RNA, 255 nt
Filed under: uncultured bacterium
Lineage: Bacteria
Description: partial 16S ribosomal RNA
Rfam family: Bacterial small subunit ribosomal RNA
Source: RNAcentral
CGUAGGUGGCAAGCGUUGUCCGGAUUUAUUGGGUUUUAAAAGGGUGCGUAGGCGGCUUUGUAAGUCAGUGGUGAAAUAUGGCAGCUCAACUGUCAGGGUGCCAUUGAUACUGCGGAGCUUGAGUACAGAUGAGGUAGGCGGAAUUGACGGUGUAGCGGUGAAAUGCUUAGAUAUCGUCAAGAACACCGAUAGCGAAGGCAGCUUACUGGGCUGUAACUGACGCUGAGGCACGAAAGUGUGGGAUCAAACAGGAUU